Molecule: ribosomal RNA, 518 nt
Filed under: uncultured bacterium
Lineage: Bacteria
Description: bacterial SSU rRNA
Rfam family: Bacterial small subunit ribosomal RNA
Source: RNAcentral
AGAGUUUGAUCAUGGCUCAGGACGAACGCUGGCGGCGUGCUUAACACAUGCAAGUGGAGCGACGAACCAGGGCUUGCCCUGGGGCAGAGCCGCGAACGGGUGAGUAACACGUGGGUUACCUACCCCGAUGACCGGGACAACCCGAGGAAACUCGGGCUAAUACCGGAUGUGGUCUUCGGACGAAAGGAAGCUUCGGCCUCCGCAUCGGGAUGGGCCCGCGGCGCAUUAGCUUGUUGGUGGGGUAACGGCCUACCAAGGCGACGAUGCGUAGCUGGUCUGAGAGGACGAUCAGCCACACUGGGACUGAGACACGGCCCAGGCUCCUACGGGAGGCAGCAGUGGGGAAUCUUGCGCAAUGCGCGAAAGCGUGACGCAGCAACGCCGCGUGGGGGAAGAAGGCCUUCGGGUUGUAAACCUCUUUCAGUUGGGACGAAGCCUCGUCGGUUAAUAGCUGACUGGGGUGACGGUACCUUCAGAAGAAGCCCCGGCUAACUACGUGCCAGCAGCGGCGGUAAUAC